RNAcentral lists this ribosomal RNA (434 nucleotides) under uncultured bacterium. Its description in RNAcentral is "partial 16S ribosomal RNA". It matches the Rfam family "Bacterial small subunit ribosomal RNA", at positions 29 to 507 of the family's 1533-position model. The record is from RNAcentral.
AGCGAACGCUGGCGGCAGGCCUAACACAUGCAAGUCGAACGAACCUUUCGGGGUUAGUGGCGGACGGGUGAGUAACACGUGGGAACGUGCCUUUAGGUUCGGAAUAACUCAGGGAAACUUGUGCUAAUACCGAAUGUGCCCUUCGGGGGAAAGAUUUAUCGCCUUUAGAGCGGCCCGCGUCUGAUUAGCUAGUUGGUUGAGGUAAUGGCUCACCAAGGCGACGAUCAGUAGCUGGUCUGAGAGGAUGAUCAGCCACAUUGGGACUGAGACACGGCCCAAACUCCUACGGGAAGCAGCAGUGGGGAAUCUUGCGCAAUGGGCGAAAGGCUGACGCAGCCAUGCCGCGUGAAUGAUGAAGGUCUUAGGAUUGUAAAAUUCUUUCACCGGGGACGAUAAUGACGGUACCCGGAGAAGAAGCCCCGGCUAACUUCGUG